This 72-nucleotide transfer RNA is filed under the name Camelus ferus (Wild Bactrian camel). It matches the Rfam family "tRNA". From Rfam's summary of the family: Transfer RNA (tRNA) molecules are approximately 80 nucleotides in length. The record is from Rfam by way of RNAcentral. Lineage: Eukaryota; Metazoa; Chordata; Mammalia; Artiodactyla; Camelidae.
GGGGAUAUAGUUCAGCAGUAGAGUGUGUGCUUAGCGUGCAUGAGGCCCUGGGUUUUAUCCCUAGUACCUCCA